AUGAACGCCCGACCUCGAGCUUCCGCUGGCGAGCCGCUCUACCACUUGAUCAGGACGGGGUCAGCCUGGUCCACUCCGUUCGGCGAACCCCGCGCCUCGACGACAUGGAUUCGCGCCGAGCUCCGCCAUCCCCGCCGCUCCUCUGCAUCCCGCUUUUGCCUCCCCUGCUUCUGCGUGUGUAGCCCACGCGAGGUCAAGGACAACCAGCGACCAGCGCCCGCGUUGACUUCCCGGUCGCAAGCUGCCAGCCCGCUGAGUCCCUCCCUCAAGGCCCAGUCUCCCCGACCCAUCCGCGCGAAGCCAGCCCACUAUGAGCAGCCGCCCUAA
RNAcentral lists this ribosomal RNA (327 nucleotides) under Triticum aestivum (bread wheat). RNAcentral describes it as "partial small subunit ribosomal RNA". Lineage: Eukaryota; Viridiplantae; Streptophyta; Magnoliopsida; Poales; Poaceae. The record is from RNAcentral.